AUUGAACGCUGGCGGCAUGCCUAACACAUGCAAGUCGAACGGCAGCACAGUAAAGAUUUCGGUCUUUAUGGGUGGCGAGUGGCGGACGGGUGAGUAAUGCGUAGGAAUCUGUCCUGGAGAGUAGGAUAACCCGAGGAAACUCGGGCUAAUACUGCAUGAUAUCGAGAGAUCAAAGGCAGGGGACCCUUCGGGGCCUUGCGCUCUAGGAUGAGCCUACGUCGGAUUAGCUAGUUGGUGGGGUAAAGGCCUACCAAGGCGACGAUCCGUAGCUGGUCUGAGAGGAUGACCAGCCACACUGGGACUGAGACACGGCCCAGACUCCUACGGGAGGCAGCAGUGGGGAAUCUUGGACAAUGGGGGAAACCCUGAUCCAGCGAUGCCGCGUGUGUGAAGAAGGCCUUCGGGUUGUAAAGCACUUUAGUUGGGGAAGAAAAGUAAUGAGUGAAUAACUGAUUGCUCUGACGGUACCCAAAGAAUAAGCACCGGCUAACUCUGUGCCAGCAGCCGCGGUAA
This 513-nucleotide ribosomal RNA is filed under the name uncultured bacterium. Its description in RNAcentral is "partial 16S ribosomal RNA". It matches the Rfam family "Bacterial small subunit ribosomal RNA", at positions 30 to 523 of the family's 1533-position model. The record is from RNAcentral.